Molecule: long non-coding RNA, 2435 nt
Organism: Oncorhynchus tshawytscha (Chinook salmon)
Lineage: Eukaryota; Metazoa; Chordata; Actinopteri; Salmoniformes; Salmonidae
Source: Ensembl
CCAGAGGACAAACUGGAAACACCGGGCUCAGUCCAAAUGGAGUUUCCUUGGCUCUGGUCAUCACUCUGGUUCUGAUUCUUCUCCUGGUUCUGCUCAUUCAGACUCAGGUCCAGCCACGCCACUCUCUUCCUGGCCCCCUUCUUGUCAGCUAUCCCUUCUCUGGUGACAGUAGAAUAACUGUAUCUUCUCUCUCUAAUCCCACCCUGCAGAACCAGACAGCCCAGGACUGAGUUCUUCCUCCCUUUCCUCUCCUCCUCCUCCUCCCUCAUUCUUUUAUUGUCUUCCUGUCUUUCUCCAGGCUGCUGGCAGAGGGGCCAAGGCAGGGGACAGCGGUUAAGAUGAGGGCUGGACACCCGGGAGGACAGAGGGGACAGGAUGGGGGACAUCAAGGGGGACAUGCUGUCAAAGCUAUUGGAGGUCCGCAGGGACGAAGUGCUGUCCAAGAUGGCGGAGAGAGAGGACUUCCAUUCUCUCAUAGGGUCGAAGGUCAUGGUGUUGUCAUUGGAGAGUUCAGUGUGUUCCCAUGACGAUUCUGAAGUGGUUUGCUCUAAGUUGAAGUUCCAGGUAGUUUAUUUGGACUCUUCUCUUUCUCUAUGCCUCACUGACUCCCAGUCCUCGUCUUCCCCUAGACCCUCCAUCCUCAGGGCUCUCCGCAGGCUCUGGCUCAGCGCCUCACCCAGGGCACGGAGCUCCUCAACUGGGAGAGGAUCUUCCCGAGUGGGUCCCCAAUCCUGGAUCUCUGGUUGGGGCUGGAGAGAGGGCUGGGUUUGGGCAGAAGGUUCUGGCAGUUGUUGUUGCUGGGGCUUAAGAAAGGGUGGUGGCUGGACAGAACACGGCAGCUGGGGCUGGAGAGAGGGUGGUGGCUGGACAGAGCACUGCAGCUGGGGCUGGAGAGAGGGUGGUGGCUGGACAGAGCACUGCAGCUGGGGUUGAAGAGAGGGUGGUGGCUGGACAGAGGACUGCAGCUGGGGUUGAAGAACACUGAGGGUGGUGGCUGGACAGAGGACUGCAGCUGGGGCUGGAGAGAAGGUGGUGCCUGGACAGAACACUGCAGCUGGGGCUGGAGAGAAGGUGGUGGCUGGACAGAACACUGCAGCUGGGGCUGGAGAGAGGGUGUUGGCUGGACAGAACACCGCAGCUGGGGCUGGAGAGAGGGUGUUGGCUGGACAGAACACUGAGGCUGGGGCUGGAGAGAGGGUGGUGGCUGGACAGAACACUGCAGCUGGGGUUGGAGAGAGGGUUUUGUCUCUAACACUGACUCUCCUUCAGACACACAGCCAUUUGGCGUAGAGGUAAACAGUCCAAAAACACUCCCCUCACUCUCCUCUUUGAUCCAGUCAGCGCUGGUGAGACUGACCCUCCGUUUGAUCCCUUCUACCUCCUCAAUCUUCCGCAUCACCCUCCAGGCUGCAUCCCUCCUCUCCACCUCCUCACACUGCCGCUGGGCUGACAUCUUUUCGUCCACUCUCUCUACCCUCCACUUCCCCCCCGCUCUACCUUCUUCCUGGCUGGGGCUCAGGGCCUGGGUGGUCCCCCCCUCUGGAGACUGCCUGGGGCUGUCCUGUGAAUCCUCUACGUCUUGGGGUUUAGAUGGGAAGGGGGAGGUGUUACACAGUUCGUUGUCGUACUCUGAGAGCUCCGUCUCUGAGUCUAUGCGAACAGGCUCUUCUUUCUGAGGUACAACUUCUUGGGGCGUUUGAUAACCGUAACGGUACUCAAAUGGGAGAACUCUGUUCGGAGAAUGAGGGCGGUUCUCAUAGAGUAGAAGCCCUCUGAGGGAGUCUAGAACAACGCUGAAGGAGUCUAGAACAGAGCUGAGGGAGUCUAGAACAGCACUGAAGGAGUCUAGAACAGAGCUGAGGGAGUCUAGAACAGCACUGAAGGAGUCUAGAACAGAGCUGAGGGAGUCUAGAACAACGCUGAAGGAGUCUAGAACAGAGCUGAGGGAGUCUAGAACAGCACUGAAGGAGUCUAGAACAGAGCUGAGGGAGUCUAGAACAGCACUGAAGGAGUCUAGAACAGCACUGAAGGAAUCUAGAACAGAGCUGAGAGAUUCUAGAACAGAGCUGAGGGAGUCUAGAACAGAGCUGAGGGGGUCUAGAACAGAGCUGAGGGAGUCUAGAACAGAGCUGAGGGGGUCUAGAACAGCGCUGAGGGACUCGUGCAUGGCUUCUUUGCCCUCCAUGGCAGUAUUCCUCCUCUCCCUCUCUCCUCCCAUGACAGUGUCCCUCUUCUCUCUCUCCCUCUCUCUCCCCAUGGCAGUGUCACUCUUCUCCAUCUUCUAUCUCUCUCUUCCUUCCAUGACCUUGAAGUUGGAGACAUCGCCAGAAGGAUAGGCUGGCCUCGGCUCUAUAAUACCCCACUGAAGAGUCUCCUCGGCUGGGGGAGCACUCAUCAUCCAUCUCUUCAGCCUCCUUUGCCUGGAGGUCCCUGCU